This 253-nucleotide ribosomal RNA is filed under the name uncultured bacterium. RNAcentral describes it as "partial 16S ribosomal RNA". It matches the Rfam family "Bacterial small subunit ribosomal RNA", at positions 524 to 776 of the family's 1533-position model. The record is from RNAcentral.
UACGGAGGAGGCAAGCGUUAUCCGGAAUUAUUGGGCGUAAAGCGUCCGCAGGUGGCGAUUCAAGUCUGCGGUCAAAGACUGGGGCUUAACCCUGGAAAGGCCGUGGAAACUGAAAAGCUAGAGUGCAGUAGGGGUAGAGGGAAUUCCCGGUGUAGCGGUGAAAUGCGUAGAGCUCGGGAAGAACAUCGGUGGCGAAAGCGCUCUGCUGGACUGCAACUGACGCUCAGGGACGAAAGCUAGGGGAGCGAAUGGG